UGGCGCACCGGCGUAAGGGGCAGUAAUGCAUGGGUACCUACCCCGGGGUUGGGCAUAGCCCGUAGAAAUACGGGGUAAUUCCCAGCGAUGUCGAAAGACCAAAGCUCCGGCGCCCUGGGAGGGGCCCAUGUGAUAUUAGCUAGUUGGUGAGGUAACGGCUCACCAAGGCGAAGAUGUCUAGCGGGUGUGAGAGCACGACCCGCGCCACUGGCACUGAGACACUGGCCAGACACCUACGGGUGGCUGCAGUCGAGGAUCUUCGGCAAUGGGCGCAAGCCUGACCGAGCGACGCCGCGUGUGCGACGAAGGCCUUCGGGUUGUAAAGCACUGUCGAGAGGGAGAAAAGCGAAAGCUUGAUCUAUCUCUGGAGGAAGCACGGGCUAAGUUCGUGCCAGCAGCCGCGGUAAGACGAACCGUGCGAACGUUGUUCGGAAUAACUGGGCUUAAAGGGCGCGUAGGCGGGCUGCCAAGUUCGGGGUGAAAUCCUCCCGCUCAACGGGAGAACUGCCCCGAAUACUGGCGGUCUCGAGGAAGGUAGGGGCGUGCGGAACUAUGGGUGGAGCGGUGAAAUGCGUUGAUAUCCAUAGGAACU
RNAcentral lists this ribosomal RNA (592 nucleotides) under uncultured bacterium. RNAcentral describes it as "bacterial SSU rRNA". It matches the Rfam family "Bacterial small subunit ribosomal RNA", at positions 88 to 708 of the family's 1533-position model. The record is from RNAcentral.